AUUAACACUGAUGCUGUUAAAGUUCGAGAUAUGUGAGAAUCUGCUGGUUUUAAAGAGCCAUUUAAAAUGGAUGAGAUUAAUGUGCAGUGCAUAAAAGCAGGAACAUUGCAGGCUUCAGCAUUAAGUGGGAUAUGCGAAUACAUUUGAAUUGAUAAUGCGUUGGUGCAAAGUCUGUGGAAGAAAGCAUACUGCGGACAAGAAAAUCUUCCAGGAAUUUUCAUGACAGUGAUCGUGCUUAUAAUGAAAUGUCACGAGGCACUUCACAUGAGCGUUAUAAAGCCAUGACACCACGGCAUGAAAGAGUCCAACACCGGCAUCUCCAAACCAGGAGAAAGGAAAAAUUCAAAAGCAGAAAAGAGAAAACUCAAGCUUUUGCAGCUGCAAAGAGUUGGAACAUCCUCCAGAA
This is a long non-coding RNA of Hemiscyllium ocellatum (epaulette shark), 406 nucleotides long. RefSeq lists it as uncharacterized. The transcript is spliced from 3 exons. NCBI's taxonomy places the organism in Eukaryota, Metazoa, Chordata, Chondrichthyes, Orectolobiformes, Hemiscylliidae. The record is from RefSeq and is a predicted model, not a curated record.